CUGCGAUGAUGGCAUUUCUUAGGACACCUUUG
RNAcentral lists this non-coding RNA (32 nucleotides) under Callithrix jacchus (white-tufted-ear marmoset). The record is from RNAcentral. Lineage: Eukaryota; Metazoa; Chordata; Mammalia; Primates; Cebidae. RNAcentral also lists the same sequence under 1 other name.